Molecule: ribosomal RNA, 153 nt
Filed under: uncultured Mesorhizobium sp.
Lineage: Bacteria; Pseudomonadati; Pseudomonadota; Alphaproteobacteria; Hyphomicrobiales; Phyllobacteriaceae
Description: partial 16S ribosomal RNA
Rfam family: Bacterial small subunit ribosomal RNA
Source: RNAcentral
GAAUAUUAUCGAAUGGGCGCAGCCUGAUCCAGCCAUGCCGCGUGAGUGAUGAAGGCCUUAGGGUUGUAAAGCUCUUUCACCGGUGAAGAUAAUGACGGUAACCGGAGAAGAAGCCCCGGCUAACUUCGUGCCAGCAGCCGCGGUAAUAGAUAA